AUUGAACGCUGGCGGCAGGCCUAACACAUGCAAGUCGAACGGUAACAGGAAAAAACUUGCUUCUUUGCUGACGAGUGGCGGACGGGUGAGUAAUAUCUAGCAGACUGCAUGUUUGAGUGGGAUAACUCCUAGAGACACUAACUCUAACACCAUAAAGUCGCAAGACCUAAGAGGAGGACAUCUUCGCACCUUGCCAUCGUAUGUGACCAGAUGGGAUUAGCUAGUAGGUGGGGUAAAGGCUCACCUAGGCGACGAUCCCUAGCUGGUCUGAGAGGAUGAUCAGCCACACUGGAACUGAGACACGGUCCAGACUCCUACGGGAGGCAGCAGUGGGGAAUAUUGGACAAUGGGCGCAAGCCUGAUGCAGCCAUGCCGCGUGGAUGAAGAAGGCCUUCGGGUUGUAAAGUACUUUCAGUGGGGAGGAAGGGAGGAAAGUUAAUACCUUGGCGCAUUGACGUUACCCGCAGAAGAAGCACCGGCUAACUCCGUG
RNAcentral lists this ribosomal RNA (490 nucleotides) under uncultured bacterium. Its description in RNAcentral is "partial 16S ribosomal RNA". It matches the Rfam family "Bacterial small subunit ribosomal RNA", at positions 30 to 507 of the family's 1533-position model. The record is from RNAcentral.